CAGCAGUGAGGAAUAUUGGUCAAUGGGCGCGAGCCUGAACCAGCCAAGUCGCGUGAGGGAUGACGGCCCUACGGGUUGUAAACCUCUUUUGUCGGGGAGCAAAUUCCGCCACGUGUGGCGGAGUCGAGAGUACCCGAAGAAAAAGCAUCGGCUAACUCCGUGCCAGCAGCCGCGGUAAUACGGAGGAUGCGAGCGUUAUCCGGAUUUAUUGGGUUUAAAGGGUGCGUAGGCGGACUGUCAAGUCAGCGGUAAAAUACGGGGGCUCAACCUCCGCCCGCCGUUGAAACUGACGGUCUUGAGUGGGCGAGAAGUAUGCGGAAUGCGUGGUGUAGCGGUGAAAUGCAUAGAUAUCACGCAGAACUCCGAUUGCGAAGGCAGCAUACCGGCGCCCGACUGACGCUGAAGCACGAAAGCGUGGGUAUCGAACAGGAUUAGA
This 436-nucleotide ribosomal RNA is filed under the name uncultured Porphyromonadaceae bacterium. RNAcentral's name for it is "bacterial SSU rRNA". It matches the Rfam family "Bacterial small subunit ribosomal RNA", at positions 349 to 782 of the family's 1533-position model. The record is from RNAcentral. Lineage: Bacteria; Pseudomonadati; Bacteroidota; Bacteroidia; Bacteroidales; Porphyromonadaceae.